This 443-nucleotide ribosomal RNA is filed under the name uncultured bacterium. RNAcentral describes it as "partial 16S ribosomal RNA". It matches the Rfam family "Bacterial small subunit ribosomal RNA", at positions 338 to 795 of the family's 1533-position model. The record is from RNAcentral.
CCUACGGGUGGCAGCAGUGGGGAAUAUUGGGCAAUGGGCGCAAGCCUGACCCAGCAACGCCGCGUGAAGGAAGAAGGCUUUCGGGUUGUAAACUUCUUUUUUCAGGGACGAAGAAAGUGACGGUACCUGAGGUAUAAGCCUCGGCUAACUACGUGCCAGCAGCAGCGCUAUGACGUCGGCGGCAAGCGUUAUCCGGAUUUACUGGGUGUAAAGGGUGUUUAGGCGGGAAGGCAAGUCAGAUGUGAAAACCAUGGGCUCAACCUGUGCCCUGCAUUUGAAACUGGUUUGCUUGAGUACGGGAGAGGCAGACGGAAUUCGUGGUGUAGCGGUGAAAUGCGUAGAUAUUAGGAAGAACACCAGUGGCGAAGGCAGUCUGCUGGACAGCAACUGACGCUGAGGCGCGAAAGCGUGGGGAGCAAACAGGAUUAGAUACCCGAGUAGUC